CUGUCUAUACUCUGGGGUAACCUUACACUCAUGGUUUCUCAGUGUCUUCACGGUUCCAGAAUCUUGUGGCUUUGGUCUUGAUUGGAAUUGAAUCCCUUGCAAUUUUUAAGAAAGAUGAGAGGAGGACCUCCUAACUUGCAGAUUGAAUCCUUUUUCUUCCAGCUCUCAGGACCCGGGCAACUGAAGCUCCAUUCUACUUCUACCAAUUAACAUGGUCUCCUUCCUCAGCCCCCUUUCCCCUCCCCCUUCUUGAAAGAGGAAAAACUAUGACCUCUUGGAAACCAAAAUCCCAACCACAAAUCUCUUCAAGGUUAGCACUAUGCGCUAAAAAAAUGAAUCACAAAAAGAACGUGCCUUCAAAAUAUCAGUCUUAACUGUAAAACACAGAUAAAAACCAUCCUUUUAAUCCAGUUUUCCCAGCUGUCCUUCUGUUGGCAAUGGAGCCUCAAGCUCCAAACGGGGUGGGGUGGGGGAAUAAUUCUCUGGUCUUCAAUGCUUAAAAUGACAAGAGCAGGUAAUAUGUUCGAGAAAGCGAAUCAGAAAAAAAAAAUUGAAUAAAUCCGAAAUGGCACUUGGAAAAAAAUCUUCCAGCUGAUCCGCACGGUAAAAAAAAUAAAUAAAUAAAACCAUACAAUAGUAUGUACACAACAGCACUCCUCCCAGGUUCAGUGCAACCUCGGGAAACAAAAUCUGUGGAUUUUUUAAAAAAAAAAGCUUUUACAUUAAAGAGUUAAAGGUUUUGAAAUUCUGAAAUGAGCCAUUCACACCAAAAAAAAAAAAAAAAAAAAUCACAGAACACCUGAAAUGCAGUGGUUUUUUUACCUUUAAAAUGAGAGCAUUCGCCAAAACCAGAGAGAAGCUCUGAAAAUAUUCCCUGCUUUUUCCUUCAAACUCGCAGGUUUCCCACACCUACCCCAGCCUGGUUCUGAGCCCCAGACCUCGUUCGGCCUUUCUCCGACAGCCAAUUUCCUGAGUUAGUUCUGCCGUUUCUCUCCUCCACAUCCAGGCUCCGAAAGCCUCCCUCGCCUCAGCCUCCAUGAACCGGGGUCCGCUCCCCUCGCUGGGCGCCUGGCCCGCACGGCGGCGCCGCUGCUCUCGGUGGGGACGACGCGCGCGGCUCCGCCAAGCCUGGUGGCGCCGGCUCAGGUGGGCUUCUUCUCGCCGCUCCGGCCCGGCCGCCCGGCCCCGCGCCCUCGGCCUCCGCGGCCCGGACGCAGCGCGGCUGCUGGAGGCGGGUCCGCCGGCGUCGCGGCCGCGCUCCCGCUUCCGGGCCCCUUCCCCCCGUCGCUGGCUGGCGCUGGCGCAGGCUCGGCCGGCCGCCCCCUCCCCGCUGCUCCGCGCCCGCCGCCGUCCGCUCCCUCCCCGCUGGCGGGCGGGGCCGCGCUCCUCCCCGGCUCCGCCCUCGCUCCGCCUCCCGCCUCGGCCGCCCCGCCCCUCCGCCCUCCGCGGCCGAGCGGCCUAGCUGGUCCGGCGCGCGGGUCUCCCCGCGAGGCCCGACCUUUGUUCCCGACCUGCCCGGCCGCGCCGUCCCGGGCGGCGGUGUUUGCUUAGGGUCUCCCGCACCACCUGGAUUGCCCGGAGAGCGAUGUAUGAGCUUGCAAAUUUACACACAGACACACACACACAGUAGUGGGGAUCGAACUUGGGUCCUUGUGCUUGAGCAGCAGCAGCAGCACCAGAAAAAGAAGAAGAAGAGGAGGAGGAGGAGGAGGAGCAAGAAGAAGAAGAGGAGGAGAAGAAGAAGAGGAAGAAGAAAGAAGAGGAGGAGGAAGCAGAAGAAGCAACUUUUCAAUUGUGGGCAGAAAUCCCAAGACCAAACUGGUUGUUUCUUCUAGAAAGAUGACUCUUUAAGUUAUUAUCAUUCUCCUUCCAGGGUGCUGUUCAGGGACAGGCCUGGCAAAAUAAAACUGCUACUGGAGAGAUUGUGCCUCUGUUUACUAGGGGUCAUUUUGGUUUGGUGGGGGUUUUUUGGCACUGGAGAUGGGACUUGGGACCCUGUGCUCGCGAGGCAGGCAGCGGAACCACUGAGCUAAAUCCCUGGCCCUGGUUGUUUUGUUUUUGAAACAGAGUCUGGCUGAGUUAUCCAGGCUAGCUUGGAGCUCUCUACACUCCUUUCUCAGCCUCCUGAGUAGCUGGGGUUACUGGCACAUAACACUAUACCUGGC
Molecule: long non-coding RNA, 2165 nt
Organism: Heterocephalus glaber (naked mole-rat)
Lineage: Eukaryota; Metazoa; Chordata; Mammalia; Rodentia; Bathyergidae
Source: Ensembl